CGAACGGGUGAGUAAUAUAUCGGAACGUGCCCAGUAAUGGGGGAUAGCCCGGCGAAAGCCGGAUUAAUACCGCAUACGACCUACGGGUGAAAGCGGGGGAUCGCAAGACCUCGCGUUAUUGGAGCGGCCGAUAUCAGAUUAGCUUGUUGGUGGGGUAAAAGCCUACCAAGGCGACGAUCUGUAGCUGGUCUGAGAGGACGACCAGCCACACUGGGACUGAGACACGGCCCAG
RNAcentral lists this ribosomal RNA (232 nucleotides) under uncultured bacterium. Its description in RNAcentral is "partial 16S ribosomal RNA". It matches the Rfam family "Bacterial small subunit ribosomal RNA", at positions 99 to 334 of the family's 1533-position model. The record is from RNAcentral.